CGGUGGGCGGCGCUCCGAGGGAACCCUUCCGGGGGCGAAGAGCCGGAGUUUGCUCGGGGGCGGAGGCCGCGGGCCGCCCUCGUCUGCCCCUGGGCCGUUUUUAUGCCCCGGUAUGCCCCUUCACGCCGCUCCCUGCCGAGGCUGGAAGCGGCAGCGGUACACAGAUGCAUGUUCUGCCCCUAAGAGAUGAUGAAGAUGGAAGUUCGUGGCUUGCUCCUUGCUUCUCAGAUAUGGACAGCUCCUGAAGCCGGUGAAGGAGAAACAGCAGUCUGAGGUGAAACAACAUUCAACAAAACCUCAUCAAAUGCUUUCAGAGGUCUCUGAAAAAAUUACUGUUGUGCUUAAAAAUUGAAUAUUAUCUACUAAACUUUAUUUUCGUUUGAAACCUGACUGUCCCAUCCUCCCCGUUUUCAUCUAAGAAUGAAAAUGACACGUUACAUUAAAGACACAAAUGCCACUUUGGGAUUGAAAUCGUACUACGUGAAUCCGUGUGAUCUAUUAGCAGGACUGAGUCUCUUCAUUCUCAGUGCAGAAGUGCAGUACAACAGAAGAACAAAUACAUUCUGCAGGUGGAGAGAAGAGCCGUGGGUUCAUGGUAAGGACAGCAUCCAUCUGCCCCAGAAGCCCCAGUUGGUAGUAAAGCAGUUCGCAGCACAGACCUUUCUGUGGAGAAGCUCAUGCAGCCGGCCGGCCAGCAAGCAGUUCUCACACUGCAGCAUCAUGCUUAGCUGUGUCAAGCAACAUAUAAAUCAUGAAGACAAAGUGCUGUUGAGCAACAAGGCAGCUUUUCCCAGCCAGGUCAGUAAGAAGAAACCACAGUUAUCAAAUCAGUGUCUUGGCAUUGAAGCUGCACAGCACCUCAGUGGAGCAGGUUAGUGGGAUCGGGUCCCUUCCUCCAGAGGAAGGUUUGUGCUGCUGUUUGGCCUCACCCACCUUCAGGCAGCUGAGUUUCUGUUGACUCGAAAGGAAAGCAAAAAGUCUGAAAUGCUGCUAAAAGGCCUCGUAUUGUCUGACAUCCUGUGACAAGAAAAAAAUAAACAACUUUGACCACAAGCCGUAAUGACUCUCACCUCUGUGUAAGCUUUCAGUGGCAUCAGUACUGCUGCAUCCUGCUUUUGGUUUUGCCUUGCUCGCUUGUGUUAUUCCGUGCAUUGCACAAAGAGCUUCCAGGACAUCUCCUGCAAGCCAGACUCUGGGAGCAGUUACAGCUGCCAGCCCAGCAAUAAAAAUACUGGGCCUAAAAGUCA
RNAcentral lists this long non-coding RNA (1247 nucleotides) under Gallus gallus (chicken). RNAcentral's name for it is "lncRNA (ENSGALG00010002785.1)". Lineage: Eukaryota; Metazoa; Chordata; Aves; Galliformes; Phasianidae. The record is from RNAcentral.